RNAcentral lists this non-coding RNA (924 nucleotides) under Pristimantis versicolor (Loja robber frog). Its description in RNAcentral is "12S ribosomal RNA". It matches the Rfam family "Bacterial small subunit ribosomal RNA". The record is from RNAcentral. Lineage: Eukaryota; Metazoa; Chordata; Amphibia; Anura; Strabomantidae.
CAUACAGGUCUGGUCCCAGCCUUCAAAUCAAUUUCUUCUUAGCUUACACAUGCAAGUCUCCGCACACCCGUGAAAACGCCCUUCCACCCACCUAGGAACAAGGAGCCGAUAUCAGGCACAAACCACCCAUGACAUCUAGCCACGCCACACCCACAAGGGACCUCAGCAGUGAUUAACAUUAAAAAUAAACGUCAGUUUGACUUAGCCAAUGAUAAUAGAGCCGGCCAAUCUGGUGCCAGCCGCCGCGGUUACACCACAGGCUCAAAUUGAUUUUAACGCGGCGUAAAGCGUGAUUAAAGAAAAAUAAAAUUCUGGGGUCAAACUUUGACUAAACUGUAAUACGCCUGUCUCUUAGAAGCCCUAUCUCGAAAGAUACCCCAACUCAUCAACUUGAACUCACAACAACUAGAACACAAACUGGGAUUAGAUACCCCACUAUGCCUAGUCGCAAACUUUAACUUACUUCCCCAUCGCCAGGGAACUACGAGCAAAGCUUAAAACCCAAAGGACUUGACGGUACCCCACAUCCUUCUAGAGGAGCCUGUCCUGUAACCGAUACCCCUCGUUCAACCUCACCAUUUUUAGUCUAUCAGCCUGUAUACUUCCGUCGUCAGCCUACCGCGUGAGCGAAUAGUAAGCUUAAUGUCACCCACCAAUACGUCAGGUCAAAGUGCAGCAAAUAAAAUGGCAAGAGAUGGGCUACACUUUCUACUAUAGAAAACACGAAAAACUAUGUGAAACCAUACUUAGAAGGUGGAUUUAGCAGUAAGGGCGGAAUAGAAUACCCCCCUUAACCCGGCACUGGGGUGUGUACACACCGCCCGUCACCCUCUUCAACAAACUUCACCAAGUAUUUAACACCAUCUACUAAAUAGAAGAGGUAAGUCGUAACAUGGUAAGUAUACCGGAAGGUGUGCUUGGAAA